UCUUACAAAACACAGAAAAGAUUAGGUGAAGUUGCUGAAAUAUUUAUGUUUGAAAGAUCUUUGCAGGAGAAGCUGAGAGUUAAAGAGCUUGAACAUAAUCCAGAGGACAUAAAAUUCAUACAACAUUACAACGAUGGAUGAAUGAGUUUUCAUGGUUGUCUGAACCAACUGGAAGGCUUGGUUAAUGCUAUGUAUGGCUGCCAGUGUUUAAUUUUGGGUCCUCUUCCUCCUUUGUAAAACAUCCAAAUCACACCCAGCAUGGUUUCAGACAGGUAUGACUGAUUUAAAGCACUCCUCAAAGUGAACUUUAUAACAUGAAUGAGCAAGGCAUUACAUGUAAAAUGUGCUUUACUGUUUUAGCUUUGCAAAUACAGAUAACGGCAUUUUAUGUCAAUUGUUUUAGAGCAUGGGUGUAAUAUAUGUUUUUAAAUCCCAUGUGAAGUUUUGUUUUACCUUCCUGGAGUAAAAGCCCCAAAUCUGUCUGAUACCCCACUGCACUACAGCCUGCUGACAUUACCAAGAAAUCCAUGGAAAGAAACAACAAGUAUUACACCAGUGAACUGAAAGCAAUGGCAUUCAAGAGCAGAUCUUUGCAAAAGAGGUUGCAAAUACAUGGAUUGAGAGAAGAUCUUUGCAGGAGAAGCUGGGAGCUAAAGAGCUUGGACAUAAUCUACCUGAUGAUGAAUAAAUAUGGCUAUUCAACUAGCUGUAUUUAGUUUAGCACACUGGUUUAAUAUCUGCUGUUGCACCUUAGCUAUGUGUUAAUUUUAUUUCAUACAAACUGUUUGGCAUUAAAGUCCAACACCUGAUCGGUCAAAACUAUCCAGAUUACUAAAGUACCAAAACAAUGCACUAAUCUGCUUCGUAUUUAACAUCUCAGAUAGUGGAAUCAGAAACAAACUCUCACAGAAUAGAGACAGAACGGUGUUACCUUAACUGACGUAACGUUCAGCUCAUCUUCUCCUUGUUGUUUACAUACGCAUUCACAUCUUUAUUUGAUUAAAGUUUAAACUACAAGCGUGAGGACAGAAACAUGAGCUCAUCCCCCACCUGCUGACUGAAUUGUUAUGUAUUGAAUUUCCAAUCUGGCUUCUUUGCUCUCGUACUGUGAUUUAAUGAUGUGAUGUAAAUGAGGUGUUGGAUUAAUGAUGGACUGAUGUCAUUAUUUGUGUGCUUUGACUUUUAGAGUAACACAAUCUUGUUACCUCACCCUUCAGCUGUUUCACCUUGUCCAUCACAGCCAUGGCUCUGUCAGCUUGACCAUAAAAGGCAUUUACUUCUAUGAAGGAGAAAUCUGGUUCUGAUUUUACUCGAGUUGUCUCUUUCUAUUUAAAGCACAUGUAAUCUGAUCUGGAGUGAUGUUUGCAAAGUAUUAAGUUUCACCUUGGCUCCUGAUAUAAGUUUUGAAUUUGCUCAAGUUGAUAGCCUCAAGAGCCAAAAUGUUGUAUAUUUGGAGGAUGUGCGGCAAAAUUCAGAAGAGAUGCAAGGUCAAAAACAUCUCAAAACCUCCCUGCAUAUUCAUCUUCAAAAAAAGCAUCAUUCAUGUGUUGAACAGUUCCCACCUGUUCUAACAAAAAGAGCUGGUCUAGACCAUGCUCAUAUUUAGAGAGACCCAACAUAAAGAUGGGAUAAGAUCAACCUACACGCAUCCCAUCUUCAACCACGAGUGAAACACUUUACAGCAUUUAUCAAGUUACAGAGAGAAAGAACUUUCUUUAGCAGGCUAAACCUCGAACAGAAUCAGACACAUGUUAGACAGUCAUCUGCCAAGUCUGAGCUGGAUUUAGAGAGGAGAGAGAGAGAGAGAGAGAGAGAGAGAUGGAGAAAUACAGAGAUGAUUUGAUGCACAUAGUUGAAGCAACAGGUCCACAGCAGCACGAUUUUUGCAGCAGCAAUCCAGAGAAAUCUACAGCAUGAUGGAGCUCAGGGACUCCCAGAAAAGACUGUAUUAGUGACUCUAAAAGGACAGGGUGUUGUGGUAUGUUUUGUUUAUUUAGUUUUCUCCUUAUGUUGUUUUUUUGAGUGUUUUUUCUGUGUAUUUUCCCUAGUGUUUCUGUUCCCUAUUGUUCAUGUUCCCCUGUAGUCUUGUCCAGUGAGUUUUCAGUUUGUGUCUCACCCCAUUUCCCUCAUGUUCUCAGUGUUUCAUUCUGUUGAUCGUUUUCAUUUCUCCCUGUUUAAUUUUAUAUUAGUCUCUCUCUUUGUGUGUACAGUCUUGUUUUACCCCCUCAGUUUUCCCUCCUUGGUAAUUGUCUACACCUGUGUCUCACCUGCCUCUUGUUGCUUGUUUCCCUGUGUUUAUAUAGUCCCUGUCUUCCCCUGUUUCCUGGUUGGUUUAUUGUAUGUCAAUGUGUGUGUCAGCAUAUCAUUGUCUUCCCAGUGAGUCUCCAGUGAUUUUUGGGUCUUUGGACUUUGCCUCUUGUGUUUUUUUUGUUGUUGUUGUUUAUGCCUUUGGGAAUUUUUCAGUUGGUUUUUGUUGCCUUUCAUUUAGUUCAUUUCAAAUAAAUCUUUUUUUGUUCUGCAUUUUGGGUCCUUUCCCCUUUUGCUUAACUCCUAACC
This is a non-coding RNA of Xyrichtys novacula (pearly razorfish), 2556 nucleotides long. The record is from the annotation of a GenBank genome assembly. Lineage: Eukaryota; Metazoa; Chordata; Actinopteri; Labriformes; Labridae.